GAUGAACGCUGGCGGCGUGCCUAAUACAUGCAAGUCGAGCGAACAGAUGAGGAGCUUGCUCCUCUGACGUUAGCGGCGGACGGGUGAGUAACACGUGGAUAACCUACCUAUAAGACUGGGAUAACUUCGGGAAACCGGAGCUAAUACCGGAUAAUAUAUUGAACCGCAUGGUUCAAUAGUGAAAGACGGUUUUGCUGUCACUUAUAGAUGGGUCCGCGCCGCAUUAGCUAGUUGGUAAGGUAACGGCUUACCAAGGCAACGAUGCGUAGCCGACCUGAGAGGGUGAUCGGCCACACUGGAAAUGAGACACGGUCCAGACUCCUACGGGAGGCAGCAGUAGGGAAUCUUCCGCAAUGGGCGAAAGCCUGACGGAGCAACGCCGCGUGAGUGAUGAAGGUCUUCGGAUCGUAAAACUCUGUUAUUAGGGAAGAACAAAUGUGUAAGUAACUAUGCACGUCUUGACGGUACCUAAUCAGAAAGCCACGGCUAACUACGUG
This 497-nucleotide ribosomal RNA is filed under the name uncultured bacterium. RNAcentral's name for it is "partial 16S ribosomal RNA". It matches the Rfam family "Bacterial small subunit ribosomal RNA", at positions 28 to 507 of the family's 1533-position model. The record is from RNAcentral.